RNAcentral lists this ribosomal RNA (234 nucleotides) under uncultured bacterium. RNAcentral describes it as "partial 16S ribosomal RNA". It matches the Rfam family "Bacterial small subunit ribosomal RNA", at positions 104 to 334 of the family's 1533-position model. The record is from RNAcentral.
CGGGACGGGGUGAGUAAUGUCUGGGAAACUGCCCGAUGGAGGGGGAUAACUACUGGAAACGGUAGCUAAUACCGCAUAAUGUCUGCGGACCAAAGCGGGGGACCUCCGGGCCUCGCGCCAUCGGAUGUGCCCAGAUGGGAUUAGCUAGUAGGUGGGGUAACGGCUCACCUAGGCGACGAUCCCUAGCUGGUCUGAGAGGAUGACCAGCCACACUGGAACUGAGACACGGUCCAG